Molecule: ribosomal RNA, 326 nt
Filed under: Bacillus anthracis (anthrax bacterium)
Lineage: Bacteria; Bacillati; Bacillota; Bacilli; Caryophanales; Bacillaceae
Description: bacterial SSU rRNA
Rfam family: Bacterial small subunit ribosomal RNA
Source: RNAcentral
UUCGUAGCUUGCUCUUAUGAAGUUAGCGGCGGACGGGUGAGUAACACGUGGGUAACCUGCCCAUAAGACUGGGAUAACUCCGGGAAACCGGGGCUAAUACCGGAUAAAAUUUUGAACUGCAUGGUUCGAAAUUGAAAGGCGGCUUCGGCUGUCACUUAUGGAUGGACCCGCGUCGCAUUAGCUAGUUGGUGAGGUAACGGCUCACCAAGGCAACGAUGCGUACCCGACCUGAGAGGGUGAUCGGCCACACUGGGACUGAAACACGGCCCAACUCCUACGGGAGGCAGCAGUAGGGAAUCUUCCGCAAUGGACGAAAGUCUGACGGA